CUCCUCUUCCGCCGCCGCCGGGCCCGCCCGCCGCCAUGGCGGCGCCUCCCGCGGCGCCCGCCUGCCCGUGACGGCCGCAGCGCCGGGCGGGCGAGAGCGUCUCUGGGAAAGCCAUCUGGGAGCCUGAGAAGGUACUAUAGAUGUGACUGAAUGCUGCCAUGAGAGUCCAGCCAUAGAAACAUUCCCGACUGGUGCUUCACUGAAGCUGUUGACCCCUGCUUGUAAGUCAUCCUCAGUUCACAGCACAAAGUUUUGAACCUUCCCUGGUGCGGACUGGACUCUGCUAGUGAAAGCUGGGACUUGAUCCAGCAACUUUGAUCCUCCAAGAAAAGAGGGAAUGCAGCAUCACGUACAGCUAAUUUAGUGGCGUUCACCCAGAGUACAGCUCAAGUCCUAACGCGGGCCUGGCUACAUGACCCCAGCUGCUGUGCACAGAGAGCCUCCCACCUUCCCAAAGCUGGAUUCCUCUAUUUGGCAUCCAGGAGCCUUUUCGCAAGCUUCAGAAAAGACUUGGCACACAGUACAUGUGGAAAAGAGAAGGGGAAGAAAAAAGCAAGAAAAAAGGAAAGAAAAAAAGCAUAUGUCCCUUUGAUUGUUUCUAAGGCAACAGGAUAAAACUGAGAGAUCCAAUGUUAUAAGACCAGACUUAUAACUCCUGGACUUUCUGAGACCUCACAGAGCCCCUUGUCUUUCCAUUCAGUGAAGGAGAAAUUUUUGCAAGGGAUCAUCACAUGAAGGCAGUAGGAUCCAGGUUCAGAGCAGACAAAAGGAGAUAAUUCUUCAUGCAAUAUAAAUUUAUAGUUGUUCUCAUCUAAGGAAAAAAAUUUCCUUGGGUUCAAAGUCAGACUGGACAGGUACUUGGAGAAAAGACCCACUGAAGGUAACUAAAUAGACAUACUACCUCAGGCCCUAAAAGAUGACUCCUAAGCUGAAAAAACUUGGACACCUGGGAGGUCUUAAGGAGAGAAGAAUCAUAUAUGCUUGCCUUGUUCUUACUGAUCCUGAAUCAUCUAUUUAUGGACUCUGUUGCAGAAGGAAGAUCAGGUAAGAUGGACAUUCACUCUGAACUGAUACCGCCAUUCCUAUGGCCACUCCUGUAUCCCAUGGUGAUAAAGGCAGAUGAAAACACUACCCAUGACUGAUAGACACCAAAUUUUUAUAUGACUAAACUAGGUAAAGUGAAGCCCUCAUCUUGUAUAUGUAACCUGCAGAGAUCUGCUUAUCUUUUUCCUUUUCCAUUCUUUUUCCUUUUUCCAUUUUGAAGUAGUUCACAGGGUCUUGGACAAGUACUAGUCCCUAGUUCUUCCACUCCACUUUCCUCAUGUUUUCUGGUUAGGUUUUGGAGGAAUUUUUUGUUGUUUUGUUUUUCUCAGGAGAAUAAUGUCCUGGUUCCAAACUUUCCACUUCCAAAUGACAAAUACUAUUUCACCCAGUAUCUUUUAUUACACAUAGUCAGUAUGAUGCCAUUCAUUUCCUAGUAGCUAAACACUACCAAUCUCCAGCAGCAUGGUUUAAGAAAUAUAUGUAUUUAUUUAAAUGUGCUCUCCCUCUGCAUGAGGUAGAGGGUGUGAAUGUGUGUACAUAUAUACCUGCCCAGCUAUGCAGGAGAAAAUACACUUCAGCUCUUGCAGCGGCAGCUUAAAAAUGCAUCAUCCUUUCUAGAAACUGGCAAGACUCUAGAUUGUGAGGUGGCUGAAAUUUGCUCUCUGCUAUGAUAAACUUAAAAAAUAAUUUGUAUUCCAAAUACUGCUUAUUAACAGCAUUUUUGUCUACAGGGUGUCUGAAUAGAAAGUACCAGCUACUUGAGAGCAGUGUCAGAGACAGGACAUGCGUUUUUAGGACAGAUUUGUCAACAACUCAUAAAAUCUAAUUUCUAACCCCAAUGGACUAUAUCACAAAAGAACAGUGAUUAGUUUAGUGAACUAUAUACAUAUGUAUCAGCAGAUGACUGCCAGUGGGGGAAUACACUUUAAGAAACCUGAGGUAAAUCAUGAAGAAUAAGGCAGGACUACAGAGGCAAAUCUAAAGGGUUUUUUUAACCAUUAAAAAGAACUCCAACUUCACAGAGUUGUUCAGGUUUUUUCUUUCUCUGCUUUGUGCAUGGCUCUGUGUGUGCAUAUUUCUUUACUGCUAGAGGAAUUUUUUUUUUUUAAAUAGAAGACUAACUCCUCAAUAAAAGAGAAUACCUUGUCCAAAAAAGUCAAAAUGUGUAAAGUGUUAAGUGAAAAUGUCCUGCAUUUCCUUCCCUAGCCUUAAAUCCCUCCAUCUCUCUGCUUCUGUUUCUAAGAAUGUCCGAAUUCUACCACGUAGACAAUGAUAGUAUAAGGUCAUUGUACUAGGUAAAGUCAGUAAAAGCUCAUGUAUACAGUUAGUUGACAUCAAUAAGAGUUCUUAUGCUCAAAAUAUGUACAGAUAAUGUGUAUAAGAUUGCACAGACAUCCGGCAGAGAGAAAUUUUUACUUAUAUCCAGUACUGAGACAGACAGUAAGAUUGCCGUCUUCAGAGCUACAAAAAAGAACUCAUAUGGUUAUGCCGAACAUGUGGUUACUCAAGGAAGAUGUUUCUCAAGGACUGCCAGGACAGCAAAAACACAACCAGGACUCCUUUCUUAUUUACAUGUUUAGUGGUUCACAAUAGCGGAAUUCAGGGCCUGCUAUCUAUUAUAAUAGAGGGACUAUGUAAGUCAUGGCAUCAUCUGGUUUUAAGACCCAUAGCUGUUGUUCUUUUCCAUCAAGGACCAGACAGAGAGGCAUGAGGCUCCAUGUAAUUAUGAGCAUCUAAACCACUGUGGCAAGGCAAGCAGGAGGGUUUUCAUGGGCAAGUAAGACUGACUGCAGUACUUUAGAGACAUGAUUGUAAACAGAAGAAGCAGACCAGAGAACAUUUAACAGGAAAAUAUCAUCCUGACCCUCUCUGGAUUAAAUGCUAUCAAUCAAGUUUAAAUUUAGCUCCUACAUGGUCCCAGAUGAAAAGAAGGCAGUCAGGACAAGGAAAGCUUAACGCCUGAGAAUAUUUGUAUUGCACAGCAAGGAAAACAAGCCUAAAGUCAACAAAGGGCAGCCUGUAAAAACAAAUAGGCCUGAUGAGAAUGGCGCUGCCACCAGAAAGCUCAUUAGCAGCCAGAAGUAGAAGAAAUGUCUCUCUGCUCUUUCUUUGCUGACUGCCCCCAGCCCAGCGCUACCACAGUGUUUCUGACUCAACUGCUGCCUCCCUUCUAGUAUAACCCAUGAGCACUUGCCAGUACCCACACAAUGUACGCCCUCAGCAUGAAAAGUGUUUCCCUGGGGUGGGCUGGGCUGGACUAUACUGGGAGGCAGGAAUGGAAAAAAAGCAGGAAAUAUCUGAGCUUUUUCAAAUGUGUAUAUACACAUAUACAUAUACACCCACAUAGUAAUUGUCUUUAUCUGUCCUAAGAUAAACCAGCAGAAGAAAAAGUCUGGGGGUAAAAUGAUGGGAAUAAACACUGCCAUGCCCACCAACAAACACACGGGAUUUCAGAAAUCAUGUGAAUUCCAAAACCAAUGUACCAUCUGUCAUCACCUAUUCACUGUGGGGGCAGUCACAGCUGUAGGGCAAUGAGACACUCUACUUCCUCCCAGUGCAUGGGAAAACACAGUCAUGCAUUUGGACAGAACUGAGAUAUCUGGUGAUCAGUAAAGAACAAGAUACAAUUUUUUUUUUUUUUUUUUCAGCCUGGAGAGACAAAAUAUAAUUUUCACAAAUCUUCAUUUAGGUAUCUGAACGUGAGCAAUUGCAUGAUGGCAAAGCCCAUUCAUACAGCAGUUUGAGAUUUUGCAUCUGUGAUUUUCAUGCUGUUCACAACCAUCUGCUUUGGAGGCCCAGUUCACCUUAAAGUGUGGUGGAGUGUCAGGUCUCCCAGGAAAUAAAGUCAUACCUGCAAAGGUUGUAAGGGAUGUCUAUCAUCCUAUACUUGUUUGCAAAUUCCCUUCUAUCCUUUUGUCUUCUCUGUCCAUACCAGCAAACUGCUAUGUAGAAAAAGGUAAAAUUUUAUAUAAAGUUCCUCAAAUGUAGUAAGUUGAAAGGGCACCUCUGUUCUCUACAGCAAUCUGAAUACUUUUCUGCAUUGUCAUAUUACCUUUCACCCUCUCAGCUGUACUGCAGUACUUUAUUCCUUUCCCCCUCAUGCCCACUCAUGCAUAUAAGCAGAUAACACCUGGAUAGUUUCCAAGUACUUGGACUACUGGUAUAUGUAUGUACGUAAACACAUUGCACAGACACAGUGUGCUCAUUUUUUAUGAGCUUUGCUGGUUUGCCUGUAUUAGAGGAGGCUGGGAUUAAUAAACGCAUUACCUAAA
Dromaius novaehollandiae (emu) is the source of this 4316-nucleotide long non-coding RNA. RefSeq lists it as uncharacterized. The record is from RefSeq and is a predicted model, not a curated record. Lineage: Eukaryota; Metazoa; Chordata; Aves; Casuariiformes; Dromaiidae. The transcript is spliced from 7 exons.